GAUCCUGGCUCAGGAUGAACGCUGGCGGCGCGCCUAACACAUGCAAGUCGAACGGCACCUGCCCUCGGGCAGAAGCGAGUGGCGAACGGCUGAGUAACACGUGGAGAACCUGCCCCCUCCCCCGGGAUAGCCGCCCGAAAGGACGGGUAAUACCGGAUACCCCGGGGUGCCGCAUGGCACCCCGGCUAAAGCCCCGACGGGAGGGGAUGGCUCCGCGGCCCAUCAGGUAGACGGCGGGGUGACGGCCCACCGUGCCGACAACGGGUAGCCGGGUUG
This 276-nucleotide ribosomal RNA is filed under the name uncultured bacterium. RNAcentral's name for it is "partial 16S ribosomal RNA". It matches the Rfam family "Bacterial small subunit ribosomal RNA", at positions 15 to 294 of the family's 1533-position model. The record is from RNAcentral.